RNAcentral lists this long non-coding RNA (2275 nucleotides) under Strigops habroptila (Kakapo). RNAcentral's name for it is "lncRNA (ENSSHBG00005000142.1)". The stretch from base 1893 to 1938 matches the Rfam family "Histone 3' UTR stem-loop". The record is from RNAcentral. Lineage: Eukaryota; Metazoa; Chordata; Aves; Psittaciformes; Psittacidae.
UUUCUUUUUGGCAGAGCUGUAGCCGGCUUGGCUUAACUGUUUGCCUCUGAGCUCGUCUAUAGCGCUCUGCGGCAGCGUUACUCUGGUUCUUCUGUUUACUUUCCACUUCUCAGCCGCUGCUUUUCUAGGAGCGUGCCUGGGGCGCUCUGCCGUGCAAGGCGAACGCUGUACUGGUUUGUGGCUUCCCGAAGCCCUUUGCCGGUGCCACGGCAUCUUGGAAGCUGCUGGGACCUGAAGGAUAAGCCGGCUGCCUUUCAGCAGCAGCUUCGUGAAAGCGGGCCGAGGCGAUCAUCCGCCUUCGCUGGGGAAAUAAAAAGGGCGAAAGCCAUCUCUUAACUCGCUAAGGUCUUCAGUACACGCCAGCGGUGGCCCCUGUGCGUCGUCCCGCGUGCUCGCGCCUGAAUGGGGUAAGGGCAGUGACGGCACCGGGUUCGCUUCGGCCGGCGGGCGCGGAAGGGGGUCCGCGCUCCCAUGGCGGGAGGAGUAUGUGCGUGGUGGAGGUCUGGCGGUAUCUGCAGCCGGGCCCCAUCUCUGGCAGGGAGCAGUUCGAACACACUCACUCUCACGAAAAGCCCGCAUGGGCCACGGUUGGCUCCGGGCAACUCUACGCUCGGCUGAGCCCGUGCUCCGCGGGCGCUCGCCCCGGCACAGCACCACCCGACCCGACCCCCUCCCACCAUCGCACAGGAGAAAGAGUAGCACAGCAGAUGGGUCGAUGGGCGGGGCACACACAAAGGAAAAAUACAUUUCCUUCCCUAGCCGUGCCUGAGCGCUCAGCGAUAACCGCGCCGCGGCGGCUGCAGAAGGAGAGAGGUUGGUCUCCACCCGUAUCGUGCCGACUCUCCCACGAGAAACGUGGGGACCCAAUCCCCUGGCACCCACUUAACAGCAUUUCAAGCUCCUUCUCGAGACUGUGGGUGGCUCUGAAAAGAGCCUUUGGGGUUCGCUUCAGUGCGCGGGAAGUUUAUCCGCACCCGGUUUACUUGCUCUUGGCUUUAUGGCUCUCAGUCUUCUUGGGCAGCAGCACGGCCUGGAUGUUGGGCAGCACGCCGCCCUGCGCGAUCGUCACCUUGCCCAGCAGCUUGUUGAGCUCCUCGUCGUUGCGGAUGGCGAGCUGCAGGUGCCGCGGGAUAAUGCGCGUCUUCUUGUUGUCGCGAGCCGCGUUGCCUGCCAGCUCCAGGAUCUCGGCCGUCAGGUACUCCAGCACGGCCGCCAGGUACACCGGCGCGCCGGCGCCCACCCGCUCCGCGUAGUUGCCCUUGCGCAGCAGUCGGUGGACGCGGCCCACGGGGAACUGCAGCCCGGCCCGCGACGAGCGCGACUUGGCCUUGGCGCGCGCCUUCCCGCCCUGCUUCCCGCGCCCGGACAUCUUCGCUCGCUGAGUCGCUCAGCCGCUCCUAAAACCUUGUCGCUAACGUAGCCGACAAGGUUUUAGGAGCGGCUGAGCGACUCAGCGAGCGAAGAUGUCCGGGCGCGGGAAGCAGGGCGGGAAGGCGCGCGCCAAGGCCAAGUCGCGCUCGUCGCGGGCCGGGCUGCAGUUCCCCGUGGGCCGCGUCCACCGACUGCUGCGCAAGGGCAACUACGCGGAGCGGGUGGGCGCCGGCGCGCCGGUGUACCUGGCGGCCGUGCUGGAGUACCUGACGGCCGAGAUCCUGGAGCUGGCAGGCAACGCGGCUCGCGACAACAAGAAGACGCGCAUUAUCCCGCGGCACCUGCAGCUCGCCAUCCGCAACGACGAGGAGCUCAACAAGCUGCUGGGCAAGGUGACGAUCGCGCAGGGCGGCGUGCUGCCCAACAUCCAGGCCGUGCUGCUGCCCAAGAAGACUGAGAGCCAUAAAGCCAAGAGCAAGUAAACCGGGUGCGGAUAAACUUCCCGCGCACUGAAGCGAACCCCAAAGGCUCUUUUCAGAGCCACCCACAGUCUCGAGAAGGAGCUUGAAAUGCUGUUAAGUGGGUGCCAGGGGAUUGGGUCCCCACGUUUCUCGUGGGAGAGUCGGCACGAUACGGGUGGAGACCAACCUCUCUCCUUCUGCAGCCGCCGCGGCGCGGUUAUCGCUGAGCGCUCAGGCACGGCUAGGGAAGGAAAUGUAUUUUUCCUUUGUGUGUGCCCCGCCCAUCGACCCAUCUGCUGUGCUACUCUUUCUCCUGUGCGAUGGUGGGAGGGGGUCGGGUCGGGUGGUGCUGUGCCGGGGCGAGCGCCCGCGGAGCACGGGCUCAGCCGAGCGUAGAGUUGCCCGGAGCCAACCGUGGCCCAUGCGGGCUUUUCGUGAGAGUG